This 391-nucleotide unclassified non-coding RNA is filed under the name soil metagenome. RNAcentral's name for it is "partial contains 5.8S ribosomal RNA, internal transcribed spacer 2, and large subunit ribosomal RNA". The stretch from base 1 to 122 matches the Rfam family "5.8S ribosomal RNA", at positions 35 to 154 of the family's 154-position model. The record is from RNAcentral.
GAUGAAGAACGUAGCGAAAUGCGAUACUUGGUGUGAAUUGCAGAAUCCCGUGAACCAUCGAGUCUUUGAACGCAAGUUGCGCCCGAAGCCACUAGGCCGAGGGCACGCCUGCCUGGGCGUCACACGUCGUUGCCCCCCCAUCUACUCCUUCGGGAUUGCGGGGGGGCGGAUGAUGGCCUCCCGUGCGCCUAGCCGCGCGGUUGGCAUAAAUACCAAGUCCUCGGCGACACACGCCACGACAAUCGGUGGUUGCGAAACCUCGGUUGCCCGUCGUGUGCGUUCGUCGCGCAUCGAGGGCUCGAAAAAAUGCUCGGCUCCGGCUGGGCUUUCAACGCGACCCCAGGUCAGGCGGGGUUACCCGCUGAAUUUAAGCAUAUCAAUAAGCGGAGGA